This 433-nucleotide ribosomal RNA is filed under the name uncultured bacterium. RNAcentral's name for it is "partial 16S ribosomal RNA". It matches the Rfam family "Bacterial small subunit ribosomal RNA", at positions 29 to 507 of the family's 1533-position model. The record is from RNAcentral.
AACGAACGCUGGCGGCAUGCCUAACACAUGCAAGUCGAACGAGACCUUCGGGUCUAGUGGCGCACGGGUGCGUAACGCGUGGGAACCUGCCUUUAGGUUCGGAAUAACUCAGAGAAAUUUGAGCUAAUACCGGAUGAUGUCUUCGGACCAAAGAUUUAUCGCCUUUAGAUGGGCCCGCGUUGGAUUAGCUAGUUGGUGGGGUAAAGGCCUACCAAGGCGACGAUCCAUAGCUGGUCUGAGAGGAUGAUCAGCCACACUGGGACUGAGACACGGCCCAGACUCCUACGGGAGGCAGCAGUGGGGAAUAUUGGACAAUGGGCGAAAGCCUGAUCCAGCAAUGCCGCGUGAGUGAUGAAGGCAUUAGGGUUGUAAAGCUCUUUUACCCGAGAUGAUAAUGACAGUAUCGGGAGAAUAAGCUCCGGCUAACUCCGUG